GGGCAUGUAGCGCAGUUGGUAGCGCGCUCGCUUAGCAUCAAUUAGUGUGUGCGAGAGGUCCUCGAUUCGAAUUCGGGCUUGUCCA
Rhizoctonia solani is the source of this 85-nucleotide non-coding RNA. NCBI's taxonomy places the organism in Eukaryota, Fungi, Basidiomycota, Agaricomycetes, Cantharellales, Ceratobasidiaceae. The record is from the annotation of a RefSeq genome assembly.